GACGAACGCUGGCGGCGUGCUUAACACAUGCAAGUCGAACGAUGAAGCUGGAGCUUGCUCCGGUGGAUUAGUGGCGAACGGGUGAGUAACACGUGAGCAAUCUGCCCUUGACUCUGGGAUAACUGCGGGAAACUGUAGCUAAUACCGGAUAUGAGGCUCGAAGGCAUCUUCGGGUCUGGAAAGAAUUUCGGUCAAGGAUGAGCUCGCGGCCUAUCAGCUUGUUGGUGAGGUAACGGCUCACCAAGGCGACGACGGGUAGCCGGCCUGAGAGGGUGACCGGCCACACUGGGACUGAGACACGGCCCAGACUCCUACGGGAGGCAGCAGUGGGGAAUAUUGCACAAUGGGCGAAAGCCUGAUGCAGCAACGCCGCGUGAGGGAUGAAGGCCUUCGGGUUGUAAACCUCUUUUAGCAGGGAAGAAGCGAAAGCGACGGUACCUGCAGAAAAAGCACCGGCUAACUACGUGCCAGCCGCCGCAGUAA
RNAcentral lists this ribosomal RNA (483 nucleotides) under uncultured bacterium. RNAcentral describes it as "partial 16S ribosomal RNA". It matches the Rfam family "Bacterial small subunit ribosomal RNA", at positions 28 to 523 of the family's 1533-position model. The record is from RNAcentral.